UACGGGGGGGGCAAGCGUUGUUCGGAAUUACUGGGCGUAAAGGGCUCGUAGGUGGCCAACUAAGUCAGACGUGAAAUCCCUCGGCUUAACCGGGGAACUGCGUCUGAUACUGGAUGGCUUGAGUUCGGGAGAGGGAUGCGGAAUUCCAGGUGUAGCGGUGAAAUGCGUAGAUAUCUGGAGGAACACCGGUGGCGAAGGCGGCAUUCUGGACCAUAACUGACACUGAGAGACGAAAGCCAGGGGAGCAAACGGG
This 253-nucleotide ribosomal RNA is filed under the name uncultured bacterium. RNAcentral describes it as "partial 16S ribosomal RNA". It matches the Rfam family "Bacterial small subunit ribosomal RNA", at positions 524 to 776 of the family's 1533-position model. The record is from RNAcentral.